CAGUCGCCGCGGUAAAACGAAGGGGGCUAGCGUUGUUCGGAUUUACUGGGCGUAAAGGGUGCGUAGGCGGAUUGUUAAGUCAGGGGUGAAAUCCCGAGGCUCAACCUCGGAACUGCCUUUGAUACUGGCGAUCUUGAGUCCGGGAGAGGUGAGUGGAACUGCGAGUGUAGAGGUGAAAUUCGUAGAUAUUCGCAAGAACACCGGUGGCGAAGGCGGCUCACUGGCCCGGUACUGACGCUGAGGCACGAAAGCAUGGGGAGCAAACAGGAUUAGAUACCCCGGUAGUCCCUGUCUCUUAUAA
RNAcentral lists this ribosomal RNA (301 nucleotides) under uncultured bacterium. RNAcentral describes it as "partial 16S ribosomal RNA". It matches the Rfam family "Bacterial small subunit ribosomal RNA", at positions 509 to 809 of the family's 1533-position model. The record is from RNAcentral.